Molecule: non-coding RNA, 108 nt
Organism: Ictidomys tridecemlineatus (thirteen-lined ground squirrel)
Lineage: Eukaryota; Metazoa; Chordata; Mammalia; Rodentia; Sciuridae
Source: Rfam
AUGUGCUUGCUUCAGCCACACAUAUACUGAAAUUGGAACAAUGCAGAGAAGAUUAACAUGGCCCUACACAAAUAUGACAUGCAAAUUCAAAAGUAAAUAAAUAAACAA